UGCGUAGGUGGUUUCUUAAGUCAGAGGUGAAAGGCUGGGGCUCAACCGUAGUAAGCCUUUGAAACUGGGAAACUUGAGUGCAGGAGAGGAGAGUGGAAUUCCUAGUGUAGCGGUGAAAUGCGUAGAUAUUAGGAGGAACACCAGUUGCGAAGGCGGCUCUCUGGACUGUAACUGACACUGAGGCACGAAAGCGUGGGGAGCAAACA
Molecule: ribosomal RNA, 206 nt
Filed under: uncultured bacterium
Lineage: Bacteria
Description: partial 16S ribosomal RNA
Rfam family: Bacterial small subunit ribosomal RNA
Source: RNAcentral